CCACAACGGGUGGAGCCUGUCGGUUUAAUUGGACUCAACGCCGGGCAGCUCACCGGAUAAGACAGCUGGAUGAUAGCCGGGCUGAAGACUCUGCUUGACUAGCUGAGAGGAGGUGCAUGGCCGUCGUCAGUUCGUACUGUGAAGCAUCCUGUUAAGUCAGGCAACGAGCGAGACCCACGCCAACAGUUGCCAGCAUGUCCUCCGGGAUGAUGGGGACACUGUUGGGACCGCCUCUGCUAAAGAGGAGGAAGGAAUGGGCAACGGCAGGUCAGCAUGCCCCGAAUUAUCCGGGCUACACGCGGGCUACAAUGGUCAGGACAAUGGGUAUCGACACCGAGAGGUGGAGGCAAUCUCCUAAACCUGUCCUUAGUUCGGAUUGUGGGCUGCAACUCGCCCACAUGAAGCUGGAAUCCGUAGUAAUCGCGUUUCAAAAUAGCGCGGUGAAUAUGUCCCUGCUCCUU
RNAcentral lists this ribosomal RNA (461 nucleotides) under uncultured Methanolinea sp. RNAcentral's name for it is "bacterial SSU rRNA". It matches the Rfam family "Archaeal small subunit ribosomal RNA", at positions 879 to 1338 of the family's 1478-position model. The record is from RNAcentral. Lineage: Archaea; Methanobacteriati; Methanobacteriota; Methanomicrobia; Methanomicrobiales; Methanoregulaceae.